CCCAUCUGUAUCUGUAUCUCCAGUGUGGAGCAGCUGGUGGCAGCCAAGCCCCCAUUCAGCUCUCUACUCUGGGAAUUCAUGAGGAACGUCUACCCUGGAGGGAUCAGCUGCAUCGUCAGCAAGGGAGACUGGCUACUCAGACUGGGUGUGGGUCCGGCCUACGACCGUGGGGACCAAUGAUAGCAUCAUGAUCCGAGUCCCUGACCACACCGUCACAGGACACCUGUGUGACAUCACCGGACCACUUGCCAUCACCUCAGCCAAUCCCAGUGGAGAACCCGACAGCACGCACCACGACAUGGUCAUCAGUCGGCUUGGCCAUAAGAUCCAGGGGGUUCUGUGUGUGGGG
Molecule: long non-coding RNA, 349 nt
Organism: Oncorhynchus masou masou (cherry salmon)
Lineage: Eukaryota; Metazoa; Chordata; Actinopteri; Salmoniformes; Salmonidae
Exons: 3
Source: RefSeq, a predicted model, not a curated record